Brienomyrus brachyistius is the source of this 396-nucleotide long non-coding RNA. RefSeq lists it as uncharacterized. The record is from RefSeq and is a predicted model, not a curated record. NCBI's taxonomy places the organism in Eukaryota, Metazoa, Chordata, Actinopteri, Osteoglossiformes, Mormyridae. The transcript is spliced from 2 exons.
ACUGGCACAACCUGGAGGAAGUAAGGACUCAUAAAUAGGGCCGAGCGAGGAGCGGAGGACAGCGGAGAGUCGCCGGUUCAGAGACGGACUCAGAGGCUCAGGGACACGCAAAUGGCCACUACCGAGGGUCUCCCCCAGCACACACACACGCAAAGACACACGGACCAAAGAAAGAACCAGAAACCUGCGACAGAGAGACAACAAGAGCCAUCGGGAAAUUCGUGUCAGCCAAGAGUGACGGCUGGAAACCACCAAUCGCAGCAGCCCUCUGCUCUGAUGGGGAGAUGAGCAGUUAGAUAGACAUACCCUGAAAAUGUGUGAGGAAUACAAGGGGAAUGUUUCUUCAUUCAUCUCGUUGUUUUCUACUAGAAGCUAAUUAAAGUGCUUUCAAGUGCA